Molecule: ribosomal RNA, 301 nt
Filed under: uncultured bacterium
Lineage: Bacteria
Description: partial 16S ribosomal RNA
Rfam family: Bacterial small subunit ribosomal RNA
Source: RNAcentral
CAGCAGCCGCGGUAAUACGUAGGUGGCAAGCGUUGUCCGGAAUUAUUGGACGUAAAGGGCUCGCAGGCGGUUUCUUAAGUCUGAUGUGAAAGCCCCCGGCUCAACCGGGGAGGGUCAUUGGAAACUGGGAAACUUGAGUGCAGAAGAGGAGAGUGGAAUUCCACGUGUAGCGGUGAUAUGCGUAGAGAUGUGGAGGAACACCAGUGGCGAAGGCGACUCUCUGGUCUGUAACUGACGCUGAGGAGCGAAAGCGUGGGGAGCGAACAGGAUUAGAUACCCCCGUAGUCCCUGUCUCUUAUAC